Molecule: ribosomal RNA, 429 nt
Filed under: Chloroflexota bacterium
Lineage: Bacteria; Bacillati; Chloroflexota
Description: Chloroflexi bacterium partial 16S ribosomal RNA
Rfam family: Bacterial small subunit ribosomal RNA
Source: RNAcentral
UGGGGAAUAUUGCACAAUGGGCGCAAGCCUGAUGCAGCCAUGCCGCGUGUAUGAAGAAGGCCUUCGGGUUGUAAAGUAUUUUCAGUCGGGAGGAAGGUGGUAAGGUUAAUAACCUUGGCAAUUGACGCUACCGACAGAAGAAGCACCGGCUAACUCCGUGCCAGCAGCCGCGGUAAUACGGAGGGUGCAAGCGUUAAUCGGAAUUACUGGGCGUAAAGCGCACGCAGGCGGUUGAUUGAGUCAGAUGUGAAAUCCCCAGGCUUAACCCGGGAAUUGCAUCUGAUACUGGUCAGCUAGAGUCUUGUAGAGGGGGGUAGAAUUCCAUGUGUAGCGGUGAAAUGCGUAGAGAUGUGGAGGAAUACCGGUGGCGAAGGCGGCCCCCUGGACAAAGACUGACGCUCAGGUGCGAAAGCGUGGGGAGCAAACAGG